GGAACCAUAGCACAGCCGGGAGUGCGCUCGCUUCACGUGCGAGAGGUCAUGGGUUCGAGCCCCAUUGGUUCCA
RNAcentral lists this transfer RNA (73 nucleotides) under Lachnospiraceae bacterium. RNAcentral's name for it is "tRNA-Val". It matches the Rfam family "tRNA". Rfam says of the family: Transfer RNA (tRNA) molecules are approximately 80 nucleotides in length. Their secondary structure includes four short double-helical elements and three loops (D, anti-codon, and T loops). Lineage: Bacteria; Bacillati; Bacillota; Clostridia; Lachnospirales; Lachnospiraceae. RNAcentral also lists the same sequence under 1 other name. The record is from RNAcentral.